UUUUUCUUUUUCCUAAUGCAACGAAACUUCCUGCUAGCCUUAGGCACACUAAGAUAAGAUCAAGCAAAUCUCCAAACACUCGUUCUCUCGUCCCGGUCAUCACAAGAACACAAGAAACAAAAACACAAACAAAACACGACAAACACACAAUCAUGCAAGUUUUAUUCAAUUUUCCUACUCCUAAGCUACACUAUUCAUGACGAGACACCUAUGGUAUCACCAACUUGGUAAUGUUCAAGAUGCAUCCCACAAAGUAGAAGAGGGUCAAGAUGAGUAGAGGAGGUUACCUCGAUCUUGGAAGGAACGAACUUUUGUUACCAUAAAGGGGCCGGAGAUGAGGACUCUAUCGCCCUCUUUGAGUGCUUGUUUGGUGGGGAGGUGCAAAUCAUGGAGUUGCUUGAUCGCUUUCUUGCAACUCCCAUCCUUGACCUUGUGGACACUUUUUUGGUGAGAAGAAGGAUUCUUGGGCUCAAGGUCUGGUGGUUCUUCAUGCAUGUUCCUCGCCUUAGCAUGCACUCCCUUGAUCGAGAUAGCUUCGGUUUCCUUAUUAUACUAUUUCACACACUCGCUCAAGGAUGGAUCCAAGGCUUCAUGAUGAAGAGAUACAUUAAUAGCAUAAACUAAAGCCAUUUCAACGGGCUCGCCAAUAUCAUUAUCAUCUUGAGGAUCCGGGUGCUCCAUACCCCCGAUCAAUUGAAAUGUGGCUUCCUUUUGACCCACUCUCAAGGUAAGCUUACCCUCAAACACAUCUAUGAUUUCCUUCGACGUGUUGAGAAAUGGACGACCCAAAAUCAAUGAAACGUCGGUGUCUCCGGUGUCAAUCACAACAAAAUCCACCGGAAACAUGAACCUUCCAACAUGCAUAAUAACAUCUUCAACUACACCACUAAGCAAUUUUGUAGUUUUUUCCGCUAGUUGGAUGCACAUCUUAGUUGUUGUAAGUUGACCUAGGCCUAGUUUCUUGUACAAUGAAUAUGUCAUGACAUAUAUACUAGCACCUAGAUCUGCUAAACCUCUUUCAAUCACAACUUGACUAAUCAUGGAAGGGAGAAAGAAACUACCCAGAUCUUUGCGUUUGCAAGGGAGGUCCCUUGAGAGGAUUGUCGAGCAUUGCUCAUUGAGAUUGAUGUUGGAAGCUUCUAUGAGCCUUCGCUUGUUGGUGAAGAUCUCCCUUAGGAACUUGGCGUAUUGAGGCAUCCUUUCGAUUGCCUCGACGAAAAGAACGGUGAAGUUCAUAUUGCAAAGUCGAAGCACAAGUUGCUUUAAGCUCUUCUCGAGAAGAUCCUUAUCCAAUUGGUUGGGAUAAGGUGGCUUAGGGUUGUAUGGAGCCGACUGGGGCUAGGAGAUAGGAGAAGCCUCAGUUGAACUCUUCGUAGCCUUCUUGGAACCAACUUCAGUUGACACCUUUGGCUUUCCAUUACUCUUUGGAGCUUUCGGAACUAAUGCAUGCGGAACCGGUGCACUUUCUUCGACCAUCACUUCAUUCUCUUAAUCACUAGAUGCUUCAUUUUUCAUUAACAUCUUUCACAAGAAAUUCAUUAUCAUGCACAAGCUUGCUAGGUACAUCGAUAGGAGGAUCGAUUAAAUUUAGGAGUUGUGGACACAUAGUGUCUCAUGCUCCUAGUUGUGAUAGAUCCACAAGUUUCCUUGCUCUUUGGAUUGGUUAUGAUAUUUCUAGGUAGAGUGCACGGUUGCCGACUUGAAAGAGCGUGUGUGAGGUAUCCAACUUGAUUCUUAAGAUCCACCAUUUGAGCUUGAGUUGAGGCAUUGUGGGUGUCUUGAAAUGCUCUUUGCUCUUGAGUCACCUUGUUGUGCUCUUGGAAGAACUUAGCUUGAUUCUCAAUCAUUUGGUUUCCUCCAUUGAAGCUCCCUUGAACAUAAUCAACUUCUUUAAUGAAGUGCUCUUCCUCCGGUGCGAAAUCGGGAGCAAGGGAUUGGCAAGUAGAGGUGGCAUGCCCUUCGUUCCCAUAACAUUCACAAACAAAGAGUUGCACAACCAGUUGAUUCACCUUUGGUUCUUGUACCUCUUUCUUUUGAGGUGGAGUGGCGGUUGGUCUCACCACCGGUUGAGCCAAGGCAAGUGCUUUGAUUUGAGCCGCCAUGCCAUCCAUCCUUGAUAGCAUCAAGUGAACAAGAUGGUUGGGAUCUUCCUCCUUAUGUCCCGGCAUCUCCUUAAGGACCUUUGGAGCUUGAGUGCGAGUACAAACAUAAGGAUCUAUGCUCACCACCUUAGCUUCUAUAGGACCUUGUUGCCUAGACCAACUCUUCAUCUUCACCGCCAUUUCCCGGAAGACUUGAAGCCAUCAUUUGGCGAGGAGUGAUCUCAAGUCUCCUCCCGCCGCUUGAUUGGUCAUCUUGGUGUCCUCAUAAGUGAGUCCUCAUAAGUGAGUCCUCUAGCAAAGGUCUCCGCGAGUUUCCACUCAUUGAAGUUGAAGUUGUGAUGAGGGCAAGAGUAGAGAAGGGCUUGGGACCUCUCCCAAGCUUCAAAGAAUGGCUCUCCAUUAAUUUUCUCAAAGUUGGAGAUUCUACUUUGGAUCUCAUCCGUCUUGUAAGGCAGGAAGAAUUCCUCCAAGAAGGCCUUUGCUAGAUUGUCCCAAGCUUGGAAGGUAUUGUUUCGUUGGUUGUCGAGCCAUUGAUUUGCCUUCCAUUGGAGUGAGAAGGGAAGAGUCGGAGUUGAAUGGCUUCUUGCGACACAUGAUUGAACUUCAUUAGAUCCAUGAUCUCGAGAUAGCUACUUGGACAUUCGUGCUCGUGCCCAUGGUAUACGUUUUGUUGCACCAUUUGAAUGUAGUUGAACUUCAACUCGAAGUUCCGGUUAUCAAUAAGGGGUGGAGCACACUUGAAGAAGUACCUUCAAGAGUUGGCUUAGGUAAUCACCUAGAGUUCUUUGAGGUUCUUGAGCCAUCUCAAAGAUGUUAACAAAUUCAUCAGCCUCUCCUUUGCAAGAUGAAACAAUUGAUGAGUGAUCCAGGGUUGUUAAAGAAGUUGCGAUGUGAGGUGGUGGUGGUGCUUGAGGUGGAGAUGAGAUGAAUCUCUUUGGUAGACGCCUUGUACGCUUCAAUCUUCUCAUGCACUAAUAGUGCAUGAACGGAACCUACACAACAAAGCAAACAACCAAGGGAACACAACAAAGGAAUAAACACACAAGAAGGGGGUAGCAAUAAGUAAAAUGGAUUAGGUAGAAUGCCUAAAUCGGUGUCUAAUCUACUCUUUCAAGGGGGUGAUUACACUCCCCAACAAUGGCGCGAUUUUGAUCCUCUAAAAAAGAACCAAACAAACAUGAUCGGCUAAGAAAAGGGACUAAUCCCAAACCCAAGGUCUCAAGUGACAAUUUUCACGAGGAACAGACCACCAACCCUAUACUCAACUAUUAAAGACACGGUUUAAGCUCACAAAAGUUCAAAAUGCUAGUUCCUUAAAUUAUCCACUAAAGUACAUAUCAUUCACAAGAGUAAUUGGAACUAAAUUAAGCUAACGAACUAAGCAAACAAGAUACUAAAGAGGGUGAACACAAGGAGAGGAGGGUUGCUAGAUUUCGGGUGUUGUUUUUGCACUCAAAUCCGAUUCAAAAGAAAUAUUGGCCACACUGGAAAAAAGUUAUGGUUUGACCAUCCUCUAAACAUUCGUAGCAGUGUAAUUCAAGGUCUUAAAUUGGACUACCACUACCAAUUGGCAAGUGAGCAAGCCAAUUGGUAGUGAACACCAAGUGUUCAACAAAAUUCUUAGAUGCUAAAAGACUUACUGGCAUCACAAACACUUGACAAGGGUGCUAAGUCACUAUUUGACACCCCCUAACAUUCCAAUCGCCUAAAUUGUCACUACCUAAGUGAUUACCAAAAUGCACUCAAGGUGUUCGAUAAAAUGCCACUAAGAGAAUCCUCACACUAAAGGUUGAAUUGGGGUGUGUGCUUGGUCCACACACCCUUAAUCCAAUCUUGGACUACACACUUACUCAAGUCAAGCACAAUUAAGUAAUUGAAAGAGUGCAUUUGACCUAGAACAAGCCAUAGCACAUUCUAAGUUGCAAUAACCAUAGUCCAACCAUUCUCAAAUACCAUAAUCCAUAUCCAACAUGUAUCCAAACUCUCAUCAUGAGGGGAUCAUCCUAGUACAUAGCAAUACCCUAAUCUAACAACUAAAGAGUCUAGCCACUCAUCAUGACACUAAAACUAAAGAAAAGGGAUACAAUCACCAUCAAACAACUAGAAUGAAGAAGAUGAUGAGGGUAGGAUCCUUCCUCCAAGCUCUACUAUUACAAUUCCUUCAAUCCUUGGUCUUCUCUAGCUCCCAAGCUUCUUCAAGGUCUUCAAUUGACCUUUUAAGGCUUCAAAUUGGGGGAAAAUCGAGAGAGGAGUCAUAUCAUCAUACAUCUUAAUAUUAUCUCUAAUUGGGACCACCUCAAUAUUAUCUGCAACAAUCUCAUCCUCAGUGUCAACCUCUAUGGCAAGUAGCUGUUGUAACUCCGUUUCUGAAGAUGAUGCAACCACUCCACUAGAGGAGGCAUCACAAUGAACAGCAAACCUACAUGAACAAACUCUAUACGAUUGAGGUUACCAAACAAAUCACCCCACACUUAUCUUUUGCAUAAACCAAUAUGCAUUAAUCAAGCUGUAGAAAAAGAGAAGAGUGGGCUUAGAAGCAACUAUUGAACAUCUCAUCCAAAUAGGAAAUCUGUCAUAAUAAAGAAUACUCAACAUCAUUAAGGCAAUCCACGUAAGGUUUAGGGCACUUAGAAACUAUCCACAAAGUCACACAAACAAUGUAAGACAUGUAAAAUUUCAUAAAUUCUUAACCCAGAAAAAUACCGAGCAAAACUCAACAUUCCUAUGACACCUAAUCAUAUAAUUUCAAAGUGCAAAGGAUGUCAUUAACAUCCUAUAUCAUACCCAAUUGAAUUCUAGCAUCAUCAAUUUCACAAAACCUCAUAUUUGAAAUUUCAAGUUCUUCAAGCUAAUCAUCAAUCUCAACAAUUUAACCAAUCAGGGCAAAGUGAACAAGGAGAAACUGGGCAAAAUUCAAUGUAAACUAGCUCAAAACUCACUCAAAGUUGAUGAAAAACGAAGGGGGGAGAUUGGGGGAGGGUUCGGCGGUGACCGACAACGGUUCUAUGGUGACAGGAGUGCGGAGUUUUGAAUGACGGCAAAGGGGUAGGAGGGUGGAGUCGGCGUCAGUGGAAUGUUUGAAAAAAAUAUGGUUCAAAAAUCGGCUAAGGCUAGAAUAUUUAGAAACCCGUGUCAACUAUUGCAUUGUAGAAGUGUCAAAAAUGCGGUAUGGACAUAGCGCAAUGUUUGACAAAUCAUAGCGCAAUGAUUGAAAGGAUUUCCAGAACUCAAUGUCAACAUUUUUUCUAUAGAUGGUCAAUUAUUGCGCUAUGGGCAUAGCACAAUGCUUGACACAGAUCCAUAGCACAAAGGUUGACAUCCUAUUAUGUGAACUUCCAUAGUUCAUGAAAGAAUCAACACUCUUUGCAUUGACGACUGGGGACAAGAAUGACACUCAAGUAUCACGUUCUAGACUCGAUCUAACUCCUACACAUGCAAAUUGACUCAAAGAAUAUGAAAAAUACUGACUCCAGACAUGGGCUUCCUUCCAUGAAGCGCUCUUUCUUUAACGUCUUUGAGCUAGAUGAUACAAGGACCUCAAUUUAGCAUCUUCAAAGUAAUGAACUUUUACUCCAUCGGUAGGCUUGGUACUGAGAUAUAGCUUGAGACGUUGACCGCUGAAUUUAAUGUUCCUUGGUCCGGAUGUGUGAUCUCCACAAAUCGGUAGGGAAAUGAUUGUGUGACUUCAUAAGGUCCCGACCAUCUUGAUUGUAAUUUUCCCAAAAAUAGUCAGAGCUGGGAGUUGUAGAGCAGCACCUUAUCUCCCUACUUGAAUUCUUUGACCCCUUGAAUAUUAGCAUCGUCGAUUCGUUUCAUCCUUUCCUUAUAUAUACAUGAGCUCUCGUAAGUAUGAAACAUGUGCUCCUCUAGCUCAAGGAGCUAAUAUUUGCAUUCUGAAGCUACGAGACUAUCAUCCAUGUUUAGCAGCUUCAUGGCCCACCAUGCAUUAUGCUCAAGCUCGACCGGUAAAUGAUAAGCCUUUCCAUAAACGAAUCGAUACGGGAAAGUGUAGAUAGGGAUCUUGAAGGCGGUUCGGUAAGCCCAUAGAGCUUCAUCGAGCCAAAUCGACCUGUCCUUAUGAGACUGAUCGACUGUGCUAUCAAGAAUCUGCUUAAGCUCACGAUUCUUCACCUCCACUUGACCGCUUGCAUGUGGAUGGUAAGCGGUCAUCAAUCAAGGAGCUAUGCUAAAUGUUUGGCAAACUCAAUAGAAUUGACCCUGAAAGUGAGUGACUUUAUCGCUAAUGAUAGCAUGAAGGCCGCUGAAACGCAUGAAAACGCAUGUAAUAAACUUUCCCACUGUCAGAACAUAGUUAGUAGACAGCGGUUGCGCCUCUGCCCACUUUGAGACAUAAUCCACUUUGAAAUGUUACAUGUACGUUGGCAGUUGAUUUUGGGCUUUAAUCUGAAUUCUGUGAAUUUUGGAAAUUGGCUGAUCAAUGGACAGUCACAGGCAUGACAGUCAGUCUAUCACGGGAAAGGUUGUCAGACAGACCACGACCGUUGUCAGCAAACAUUCAUGGGCGUGACCACUGGAAGAUCAAGGGCUUGACCAUCAGGAGGUCAUGGUUGUGACCAUCAGUAGGUCACGGGCAUGGUUUCUAUGUGGCCACGGGUAUGGUGGUAAGUUGGACAUGGGCGUGGUGGACUUAUUAUAUAAGGACAGUUGCAACUUACAACUCAGAAUUACUGAAACCUAAGAACUUUGAAUCCCUCUGCAAAUGGCAAUCAAUUUCAGGAGAUGGAGAAAUCCCAUUUGAUCUAAUCCCAAAUCAUUAGGAAAGGUCUAGAAAUCGUUGAGGAUGCUUCCAAAGCUACUCAAUCUUCUUCCUCCUUUCUCAAUCCUUGAUUGGAAAUCCUACGUAGGAAAUUCCUGACACAUUAGGAUUUGGGGUUUUCAGAUUUCAAUCCUAUGAAUUAAUCUCUACGGGUCAGACAGAACAUGAGGCUUGAUCUUGGGAAGGUAGCUUCAUAUUAGACUCUACUAGGAAAGCUAAUCAGAGGUGGGGGGUUAGGAUUUCUUUUCUGCUUUAAGUGUAGAACUGUAAUUAGGAUUGUCAGGAAUCCGAUUAUUAGAUUCUCAGACUGUGUAGUAGCAUAUGAUUUAUUGUACAUGUGUUGUGAUUUGAAGGGCUCUCAAGACUGUGCAAUAGCGUGUGAUCUACUGUACAUGUAUUACGAUUUUUAGAGCCAAGCUCUUAGUAUUGUGCAGUAACGUGUGAUCUACUGUACAUGGGUUGUGAAACAGAGCCAGGCUCUCAGACUAUGUAGUAGCGUGUAAUCUACUGUACAUGCAGUUGUUUAAUUUCGAGCAUAAGCUCAUGGUGAUUAAACUAUGCUUGUGAUUCACAGUUCAUGUUAGGACAGGAUCAUGUUUAGCUAGAUUAGCUCUCGAUAUGCAUUGGUCACCCGCCCAUGGAUUGCGCAAUCCCUUAGGUCAUGUUCAGGCUCAUGUUGGACGUGUCGAGUAUGCCUAUAGAUGCUGCUCACACGGUUUUCAGGAUGGUUUCAUAGUUUGAUCCACCAUGAGGCUAUCUACCAUAGCUAGGGGUGGUUGUUGUCAAGAUGAUGCCUACAACCUGUGAGUAAUGCAUGGGUCGAACCAUGUAGUUCGAUUGGGUCUUCUAGGGGCGUGUUUCACGGUAAUCUUCUAUAUAUGUCCCGAAAGCAAGGAUGGUGGCUAUCUCGGUAAACCACUAGCGCUUGUAGAGGUGAUGAUCCGAGACUUCCUUUGCUUCUUCCAAGAGAAAUAAUUGAUCAUCCAGAAAGAGCUCAUUUAUCUCUGCUUCAGCGAAUCGACCCAGAGAAGGCCCUUCAAGGUGCGAUAGGUGGUUAGCUGCAACGUUCUCUGAUCUCGCCUUGCCCUUAAUAGUCAUGUCAAACUCUUGAAGGAGUAGCACCUAGUGAAUCAAUCUCAAGUUCCCAUCCUGUUUAGCUAUAAGAUACUUAAGAGCAAAAUGGUCGCCGGAAUCUGGGCAGAGGUCGCCAGCGGUAACGGCCUCACUAGAGAAGAAGGGUGACCUCCCCACAAUCAUGAGGAGUUCAGUGACCAGAUCUGCAAAGUCUGAAAGAUAAGUUGCUGUUGUGCAUUUGAAUAUUCUAAAGUCUAGCUUCCGUAGCUCUGAAGUUUUGGAUGGUUUACAGUUAUGGACCUUGGUCAGAUUUUUUAUCAUUUGGAAGUUCUAGAUCAGUUAGUGUAAUGGAGGUCAUUAGAGGACUAGAGUAACAUUUAUGUCCUUAAAAUUUUCAGAUUAUUGCAAAUAAGUAAAUGGAGAAGAACUCGGUCGUUUGAGCUCCAAAUGACGCACGGUUAGAACUUACGGAUUUAUGGCAACGAGAGAAAUCAUGCCAAGUUAGGAUCAAAGGUGUCAGAUCUUCUUAACAGGUGGGGGUUUAGGAUUACAUUCUGCUUAUAAGCUUAGAACUAUAAUAGGAUGUUAGGGAAUCCGAUUAUUGGAUUCUUCAUGUGAUUCAGAGCAAGGGCUCUCAGGAUUGUACAAUAGCGUGUGAUCUACUGUAUAAAUGUUGUGAUGUGAUUCGGAGCAAGUGCUCUCGGACUAUAUAGUAGCGCAUAAUCUACUCUAUAGAUGUUGUGAUGUGCUUUGGAGUGUGGGCUCUUAGGCUGUACAAUAGCGUGUGAUCUACAGUAGAGGCAAUUAUUAUAAUUCGAGCAUAAGCUCUUGGCGUUUGGACUGUGGCAUGUGAUUCACAGUUCAUGUUAGGAUAGGAUAGGCCUAGAUAGACUAGGUCACAAUUAUGAUACGUCGGGCACCCACCCAUGGAUUGCACAAUCCCCCAUGUUAUAAUCGGGCUCAGGCAGGACGUGUUGAGUAUGCAUACUGAUGCUGCUCAUACGGUAUUCAGAGUGGUUUUAUGGUCUGAUCUACCGUGAGGUCAUCCACAUAGCUAGGGGUGGCUGAUGUUAUGUUGAUGCCUACUGGACCAGAUGGUCACAUUACUAGAGUAGUGACUACAUAGAAUUCCAUGUUCUAUUCUUAGUACAGGUCAGUUUCAAUCUCAGUUCUACGCGAGUCCAGAUAGCCACUUAGUGUUUAUCACUAACUCUAUUAGAUAUUAUUUUCUCUGGUGUAUAUGUGUGUUCGGUCACAAGAACUGGAGCUGAUGGUGGGGAGAGAGCUAGUCGGAGUUUUGAUAUCACAUGAUAUAUGUUUUGAUGUAUUUUCAGUACUAGAGUUGCAUCUCCUUUUAUCAUGUUGUGAUUUGGGAUCCGAGAUCCUUGUUGGUCAAUUUUAUCAAAGUAUUUCGGUUCAACUUUUAAUGCUUGUUUUUGCUCAUUUAUUAGUAGUAGAGAGUAGAGGUUGGUUCAGCUUGGAACCCGAUAAGAUUUCUUGAUUGAACCAGUGGUUCGACCAAAACUCUUAGGGUGGGGUUUCAGAGAAAAUGUGAUAGUGAAAUAUACAUUUCCCAAAAAAAUUCAUCUUCCCACCGAUAAGUUUUGGCUAUUUUCGUAUUUUCAUAAUUACCUUUAUUUUAGAUUGUAUGAUUCAAUUCAUUACCAAUUGUCAGAUUAUGUUGUGACAUCAUCAUUUCUAUCAAACGAACAACAUUGGCUCCAUUUAUAGGAUUUUAUCUAUUGCAUAUAAGACUAUUGGAUCCAUUUUGAUUUGUAAAAGUGGGUCCUACUUCCAUCUCAUUUUGUUUUGAAAUUUUGCAUACUUCACUUUGAAAGGCUUCUCAUUAAUGCAAUUCAAAAACAUUUGCAAAAGUGGACUUACAUGAAUAAAAUGAUCAUUUCUUAUAUAUUAUUUUAUUAGCAAAUAAUGAUAUGAGAAGGCCCAAUCCAUUGGGUCUUGAUCAGAAUGGCACAACCUAUUAAAAAUACCUAUUUUGGCAUAACAUAAUUAUAAUUUUACAAAAUAAAAUAUUUAAUUGACUUUUUAAAACUCAAUACAAAAAACUAAAAAAAUAUCAAAGUUCAUCAUAUUCUUCUCCCACCACCAUCCUAUCUCCACUAUCUUCUUAUCAUCCCCAUCAUCCAUUGCUAAACCCAACAAUUACUUUCUCUAAAUCUAUCACUUACCAAAUCCAAAAUCAUAUUCAUUUGUACACACAACCAAGUAUGCAAAUUUUAGAUAUGAUUUGUGUUGGUUUUUUAGAUCUGAUUUUGUCGAUCUCGAAGGUGAAGAUGAUUGACGACGGGGAAGGGGACUCUAAUACCCAAAUAUGCUACUGGAGAAUAAUCCAUCUUUCCAGACUAUUGCAAUUCAUACCGCUCCUUGAAUACUUACAGAGAAAGACGGCGCAUCGAGCUCAAAAGGAGAGGGUAGCGAGCAAUCGAAGGAGAGUAGAAAAAGCCGUUGCAAGCAAAAGAGAAAUCGACCACCAGAUCUCCUAGGAUUCCUCAUCUGAGGAAGCCAUCAAGAGAUUUUUUCCUAUAAGUCAGUUCAGCUACUAAAGCUACAAGUGGUGAUGAUGAAUAAGCUUCCAUAAGUGGUUCGCUGGGUAUCUCUACUUUGACCUCCUUCAUGGGAGCUCCGUCGUCGCCGCUGGCGACCCUAAAAAAGAACAUGCAUUUAAACGCGUUUACACACUAAACUAAAAAGGAGAAUGAAAGACUAUAAUUGGAAUUUCAACAACAAGAGAAAGUUAACUUCUUUUUUCUAAUCCACCGUCGGGAGGAGCAGCAGCAAGCUUCGCCCGUCUUCUUCCCUUUUGGGAUUUUUUUGAAUUAAUUAAGAAUUUUAUUAAUUAGAAGUUUAAAAUUAUAUGAUGUGGAGCCUAUAUUGAAGUCAAGUGGGAGGUACGUCAGGGGUGUUAAGUUUGACUGUUAAGUUGAUGGUCAAAUUUCAAAUAUGUGCCACAAUAAGUAUUUCUAAUAGGUUAUGCCAUUCUGGGUUUAGACCCAAUAGGUUGGGCCUCCUUAGAUCAUUAUUCAUUUUAUUAACUACAUAUAUGUUAUAAAAAUGUAUAAGUGACAAGUGGGUCUCAAAUGAUUAAAAAAUAUAAAUGAAAAAAUGGGCCACAAGUGAGAUUAUCACUUUGACUUGGAACGAGUACAAAUUUGCACUUAAAAUGAUCCUUUCCCAUCAAUAAUAUUCUCAUUUAAAUUUAAAAAUUGCCACAUAGGCUCCAUGUUACUUAACAAGUAGGGAAAAUCUCAGUGAUAAGAUGCUAUAAUAACAAAUAAUCUUGAGGCCAAAUCCAAUAACUGAGCAUGCCUUCUACAUGUCGGACUCCACCAUAUAAACACGGCCCACGUUAUAAUUGAUUCAUUAAAAAAAAGAAACAAUUUGAUGAAUUGAUGAAAGAAGCGAAAGGCAAAAGAUGGAAAUUGUCGUUUCUCUUCCUAAAACUAGGGUUUUGUUUCUCUCACUAAAAUUAGGGUAUCUCUUCGUCAUGAAGACUUCCUACACCCCCAUCGCCAUCAUGCUCAAGCACAAACCUACUCCUAUCAUCAACAAACCCAUCCCACCUACCGAUGUUGUCAUCAAAACAAGACCGACCCUUACUGCACCCAUGGCCUCCCUAUCGUUGAAGGAGAGUCAUGGCUCGGAGGACCUGACCGGAAUGACAUGGCUGACGAUUGGAUACCAGAGCUGCAGCAAUCUGGAAAGCCCCACAAAGAUUCUCCGCCGACAAAGACCAGCAGGUCAACACUAAGGAGAGGCGGUGUUCCUCCGAUCUUCGAGCUACAGGGGAGCGAGACGACUCUACCCCAUACACCAUAGUGACAUCGCCGGUGUGGACAUCCGAUCAUUCCAUUCAAAGCUCAUGAAGAUCGGCUACACUUGUGUUUGGCUUUCUUUAUUUUUGUUUAGUACUCUCUUUUUAGACAUUUGGUUGAUUUUCAGUCGUACGUUGCACUUCAUUUGUUUCCUUCCUUGAGUCGGGGUAUAGUUUUGUUAAUUUUUUUGUUUAUUUCGUUGCAUCUAAAACCGUUGAUGGUCGAAGAGAUUAAAACUGUAAAUAAAAUAUUCAAUUACCUACUUUCCCCUUACAUCUUUUCUAAAAAACAACUCUCAAUUGCAUUUCUCAUGGUCAAUGUUAUAUCACGCCUCCCUCUAUAAAGAAAUUAUAUUUUGUAAAAAAAAAAAGCGAAAGGCAAAAGAUAUCGCGAGACCUAGUUCUAUAUAAACCCAUUCCAUUCGCAGGUUACGAGCGGCCGUCAUCGCUGUCACAGGGCCAGAUAUGGGAAGCGCUAAAGCUGGCAAACCCUCAAAGAAGUCUCUCAGAAACCCUAAUCCGCUUCGCAUUACCCAUAGGAAGAUUACGAAGCACAAACGGCAAGACAUUGCUGUUGAUACAGUUCCCACCGCCCUGAAGUAGAAACACAACCUCAUAUCGGAGAAGAGGAGCCCCUUCCUUCAGCUUCCCAGCAACUCAGCUUUUUCCUCAGCAAGUUCCAGUCAGCUAAUGGUCUUCAAGGUUAGUCUCUACCGCUGGAGCUCCACAAUAUUGUAUCCCAUGACAUCUCUAUUUGGUUGCUGGACAGAGGGAUUAUUAACAAUUUGUGUAUUGUAUUUGCAGAAACAUCCUUUAUUCAGUUAUUUUGAGAGCUGCCUCAGGAUGUUGAGGGCCUAGGCCAGCAUUUGAAGACUGCUUUCGGAAAGUCAUGGAAAGAAGAACGCUGUGAUCGAAAGCUCGUGGAUAGGUAAACUGAACCAGAGAGUCCUGCUGCUCUUUUCAUUUCUACAUCUGCAUUGAGAGCAAUAGAACUUUUAAGGUAUAGAUUCUCUCAGUUCUUGUUAAUGAUCUUUGUUUUGCUCGAUUUAAUCAGGGUUUGGGCUUGAUUCAAUCUUCUUCUUUUAGGGGUGUGCGUUCACUGAGCGUUCACUGACGAAAGAAUGCCAUGCUGCAAAGCUCUUCUCUAAGCACAUGAAGGUUGAAGAACAUGUGAUAUCCUUUCCCUUUUGUCACUUGUUGUUCCUAUUACAUCGUUAAACAAAAUACUAUCUCUUUAUGUUUCGAGGUGUUGUCAUUUGUUUUGGAUAUCAUUCAGUUCCUUUUAUUAUUACUGCUGCUCGAGUUACGAACAUCUGAGGAAAUAGCAAUGCUUAGGAUGUUAUUGUCCACUUCACUGUCUCGAGACACCGACAUUGUCUUUAGUUAUUAUUUAUGGGUCCAACAAGUUAUGACUUGAACCAUGGUCACAUGGAACAAAAUUAAUUUAUAAAUUCGGACUUCUGUUUCAUCAGUGACAUUUUCACUCUUCGUCAUCAUAUACAUUUGGUGUUUGUUUGUUUUUGGUAAAAGGAUUUGAUAUUACCAGUUAUAAAGAUCAAAGGGCAGUAGCAGUGCAGGAUAAGCUUUUUUCACAUCAGUCUGCUUCUAGUUCAGUAUCUUAGUUUCAAUGAUUUAUGGCUGGAAGCAUGGAGCAGUAUGGAAUUUUUGCAAACAAUUGUUGGAUUAGGAAUUUCAUACUUCUUUUCACUGCAUUUUGAUGUUGGGAUAUGAUGAGUUACACGGAUCAAAUGCUCUAGCAGUGCUGAAUAUGUUUUUUGCACGUCAGUCUGAUCCCAACUUACCGUAUUUUUACUGCCCCUACCUUUAAAUGCAUGUCCGAGUUCUAACAAUAGAUGACUUGAGACAUGGAGCCUAUGAAUGGGGGUUCUCUGUUUGAUUUUAUGACAUUUUACAAUAAUUGUCACAAAUUUUUUUGACAUUGGAUAUGAUGAUGAGUUAGAAUCAAAGGCACUAGAGAUGCUGAAUAUGAUUUUUUGCACGUCAGUCUGAUCCCAGCCUUUCGAUUUCUGAUUACUGGAAUUUAAAAUUUUACUUUGUUUUCGUCAUUUUGACAUUGGGAUAUGAUGAUGAGAUGUAGAUCAAAGGCAUUAGCGGUGCUGAAUGUUUAUUUUGCACGUCAGUCUGAUCCCAGCUCACUGUUCCGAGAUUGUGCUGCCUUCUUGCAUUUCCUAGUUAAAAAAAUGUACUCCUUGGACAUGGAUCUAAACGAACUUCAAAAUAUGAAUGAUUAAGAUUUCGUGAUCAGUGUCAUUCAUAGUUUAUGAUCACUAAUUUAAAUCUCGUGGCAUAUCUUGCAGGGUGUUUAUAGCCAAUUAGAUGCCACACUCACUGAAAGCUUAACUUACGAUUUAGGUUCUGGUUGUGUAUCCCCCCCCCUGUCCACCGCCUUUAACCUUGUACUUCUAAGCAAUUGAUUGUAUUUCCUGAAUAAUGGCUACAUAUUUCGUAAUUGUUCAUGCUCUGCUGAUUAUAUUUUUGCACGUCUCUGUUCCUAAUAAAACUGCACACUAUUUUACGAAAAAAGACGUGCACGCUAAUAUCGUACACCAAUGUAAUAUAACACUAUUAACAACAAAAAGUUCUUAGUACGGGUUCAAUGUCAUCAUGCAACAUCCAUGAUGCCGUUCCUUAGUCUCUCUACGUGACUCUGUGUUGCAUUUGGUAAACUAUUUCUUAAACUUCUGGCUCCGUUUACUGCAGGUCACUUUCUUCAAGAAUCGUGUCAAUAUUGCCAGCGGCACACCAAACAGGUUAGUCACCAGUCAUUUCAUCUCGAUAUUGAUGUUACAAUGGGUCGUUUGGAUGAGGUAUUUGAAAGUGGUAUUUUGGCUCAAGUAACUCAAACUAAAGUUAUAACUGAGUUAUUUGGGCCAAAACACUUCGUUUUCCAUCCGAAAUAAAAGUCGUUAUAUUUCAUAACUGUGAUAUUUGAAAUAAUUAUGGAUGUGAUAUUUGAAAUAACUCAAUUUAAAACCAUAACUCAAAAUGAUAGCUAAACGAAUAAUUCUUAUCCCCCAAAUUCUUACAACUGAUCCAAACGAUUAAUGUUUACUUGCUCAUCCUUUUCGUUCUAGCUGAAUAUUUGCAUUUCCGAAAUAAUGCGCCCCACAUGAGUUCGGUAUACAUUGGUGAUUGCUUUUGCAAGUUUUCCGUGCAUGAAUUGUUGUGGUAUUCAUCAGAAAAUUACCAAUAGGAAAUAGUUAAGAGGUCGUAGAAAAUGCAUCGGGAGUGUCAUUUUAUAUUGUAGGGGCAAAAAUUGAUUUUGAUGAAUUUGAACUUUCUUGACUAGAUUCUUGAUAAAAAAAACUAUCUUGACUAGGUUGAAGAAGUUGAUAGAUAUAAAAGCAAUGGGGCUCUCGCGGUUUUAAAGUUAUCGUGCUAGAUGUCCACCAUGAUGUAAAGGGUUAUUCCUUGCUCACACUUCCACAAGGGGGAGAUAUAGAGAGAAUGUCCGGUCUCUUUUCAACACAGCGAGGAGCAUAGUCGAUUUUGUCAUGUGAAGAGUUGCUGUUGUACAAGUGUUAGUUUGUUAUUUUGACAGGACACUUUUUCAAUUAUUCAAAACUUAUAUUCUAGCUAAGCUAAGGGUAAAUAUCCAUUUUGUAAUUUCACUUGUUGCUGCUUCUACCAAGAGACAGCACACAAGGAAUUAUACUCAUCGGCUUCCUGGCCGCAAUUGAGUUAAAUCUUCUUUUCGGCCCCUAGCGUUUAAAAUAAAAUAAAUCUUUCACCGGCUACCUUCAAAAUCCUCUGUUUAUCUUUCCUUUGAUCUUAUCAAAUUUUUAUAGUGACAAAGUUUGUGAAAUUACUUAAUAAAAAAAAGAAAAAAUUAUUAAACAAUUGCUAAUAUUUAGGCCCGACAUUCGAUAUAGCACAUGUUUUUUAUAAUAUUUUUUUUUGCCCAAAUUUCAAAUUAUGUUAAUUCCUUUAAGUUAAAAUUAACGGAUUGGUGACAAAUGCUGACAAGGCAAACAAUGUGUCUGAUGUGGAUGGAUGAAAAGAAGUCAAUCGGAAAUAAAUACACAGUCAACAUACAGUUAAAAAAUUUUAUAACAAAAACCACCCACAUUCCUUAUCCUCUUCGUCGACCAGCCUUUUAUCACCCACCUGUCACCUCCCUUCUAAAUUAAUUUUCAUCAGAUGGGGAGAAAGAGUGGAAGAAGAAGAAGAAGAAAGAAAGAUGGAGCAAGGUGCAUUUGAUUUGAAUCCCGACAAUGUCGACAACAAUCUUGUAUCUAAAUUCUUUGUCGAUUUGAAUUUCGAUGAUGCCAACAACAACCUCAUUCUUGAACUCUCCGUCGAUUUGAAUCCCGACGAUCCCAUCAACAACACCAUUCCUGAACUCUUCGACAAUUUGAAUCCCGACGAUGCUGAUAACAACCUCAUACCUGAAUUCUCCGUUGAUUGAAUCUCAAUGAUGCCAACAACGACUCUCUAUCGUUGUCGAUGAAAUGCCCAAGCUUGUGGAGAGAUGGAUACAGGGAGUAGUAGCAGGUACAUGUCCAAAUAUGGAUGUUGAGAAAUCCUCCUCGGCUGUCGAUUUCGAAUGGUCCCCACGUUUCAAAUUGAUUUUAGUGUUCUUGCUGGGAGUAGGUUUGCACGCGGCUGAGAUUGGGUUUAUCUGUUUGUUGCAAAUGAAUGAAUUGAAUUGGUUGGUUUUUUAUUGGGGGUGGGUUUUGCAAGCAAGUUGAGUUGUUUGAUUGGUUUGAAGUUUUUUUUGUCUUGAUUGGGUUUUGUAAAAAAUGCUAGCAGAAUACUGACAAUGGAGGAGAAGGUGGAGGAAGGAAAAAGAAGGUGGAGGAGAUGAAUGAUUUUUUUGGUAGCUGAGUUAUUAUUAUUUAAUGAAAGGAGGUAAAUAAAAUUUACCUAACUAAGCUGACGUGACCAGUGAUUGUUAUGUGGCGUCGGACAUGGUAUCUUGAUGAUUUUCUUCUUACGGCGUUUCGUGUUUGGUUAACUAUAACGGUCAACGACAAAGUCAACUGAUUUUCGUUAGUGUGAUUUGAAUUUUGUCAGAAAAAAAUGUAUUUCGGAAAACAUGUGCCAGAUCAUUUGUCGGGUUAAAACAUUGCCAAUUGUGUUAGCUAAUUUUUCCUAAAAUAAGUUAGUGACAUUUUAUCAAGUCGAUCUACACUACAGGAAACUAGAUGUUUAACAACAUCAUUUUUUCUUGUUGACGACAACCAUUUCCUGUUGUUAUGUAUCAUAACGGCGGCUUUGAUUGCGCUAUUAAGAUUGCCAAUGCAAAGAGAUCCUACCAGCGAAAUAUUGGCCGCGGUUAAGUGGGGAAGCGUAACAGCGAAUAGCUGGCCGCUGUUAGGUUGCAUCCUAAUAGCGAAAUAUGACCGAUGUUAGACGAAAUUCUAAUAGUGGCAUUGUGUCCGUUGUAAGGAUUUCGCCUAACAGCAACUACAUAUCCUCAUAGUUUUCUUAUUAUUUUAUUUUUUUCGUUUGGCUAUUUUCCAUAUAUAUCCAACUUGUUCAAGUAAUUUUUUCGAUAGGUAGAUAGAAAUACAAAUUUGGGAAACACUUUGCUAAAUAUAAAACUAGUCAUUUUGAUUAAAUAUUUGAUUGUUAGGACACAUACUAAUUCCUUGGCUUAAACUACACCAUCCUUCUAAAGUAACUACUUGAUUCAUAGUUGUUCAUCCAACAUGUACAAUCCACUAAACAUAGACUACUCCUCUUGGUCGUAAUCAAGCUCAUCGUCCCUCUCAUUUGUUUCCAUCAUAGUGCUCGUUCACAUUUGUUUGCAUCAAAUGGCUGCCAUCAUACAUUUGGAUUUAGAACAUCUGCCUCAUCUCCUCCAAAUCAUGAGAUAAGCCAACUUGAGAGUUGGCAAGAUGAGCUAUACACCUACAAUACACCAAAUAAAAGUUAGUUUUUUUAUCCAAAAAAAUUUGCAUGACCAAUUCGAAUUCACGGUUUAACUUAUACUCUUUGAUCUACAAAAUGAACAAACGAUACUAGAUUUGGAAGGACAAGUUUCGACAGCUACAAUGAAUCAAGGAAACCUUUUACAUCUACAUUAUCAAAACAUAAUUGCAGAAUUAAAAGUAUAAACCAUGAGUAAGGUUGAAUGAUAAAAUUUUCACUAUUUAGAGGUGUCGGUUAAAAUGUGCAAAUUGGAUAAUAAAUUUGCAUGGGAAGGAUGAUUAUGUAGAUUACGUAAUAAACUAACAAAUACAUAUAUACUUAUGAUUUGAAUGGGACUUGUAAGUUAAAAUUGGAGGCGCCCCUCUUAAUUUGUACCUAUUGUAUGUUCACUAACCACCCAUAAUAAAAACAAGCAAGAAAAAUUGGAUUUGGUGGAUCACUCGAUGAAGAAACAAGAUUCGAAACUAGCCCUCAUAACUUGAUUAGGUGAAGUUUCUACCUAUAACAGUCCAACUUAGUGGUAGAAUUAAUUUAGGAUUAAUGCUGAAAAAUACAAAUACUUAUUCAUUUUGCUUUCACUCUAAAUCCUAAAUGGCGCACCACUGUUCCUGACUUCUCUUUUUUGUUCUUCGAACGUAUACGAUAUGCCCUCGCCAUAGCAUCCUCCUUGCUAACCCCAUGUUAGUAUUUGGUUCCUUCAUAAACUGUUUGACUUCAACCUAUAUUCAAUCUCAAAAUCUUAAAUAUAUUAGAAUUGCAUCUUAUCAACAAAAGGUCAAAACACAAUAAAAUUAUAUGCAACUUACAUAAAAGUCUCAAGUAACAUAUGUUUCAUCUUCUCUUUCAUAACACUUGAAAAAGAACUCAGAUCUUCUUACUUCUUUUCCUUUCGCUUUCUUCUACAUUAUACGUUCUACAAUCAAUACAAAUUAACUUCUCAUGACUUUUGGAACAUAAUAUAAAGACGAUUGAUGAGAUGCUUACUUACCAUCUCUUCACGAAUUAUAUUGAAAGGUUUUGACCCUUUCGUAUGAUAGAUGUCUUGAUUAGAACGAUACCUUGUUUCUUUGCAGAUGCAGUCUAUAAAACUGCUAGUAAUUGACAAAUGACAAUAAUAAAUAUCAUUAUAUCAAAUAUAAGUACAAAUGUAAAACUUACUAGAGUUGGCUUCCCCUCCUAUAUCUGCAAAACAUAUCCCACUCACGUUCAUCAAUAUUUGGUGGUUUCCUGUCUAAGUUGAGCUGAAGACCUUGAGUAGCAUCGAUAUUUGGUGGUUUCCUAUCACGUUCAUCGAUACUAAUCAAUUUUCUUUGGAUAUGACUAAUGUAAUGAAGAAGAUAGAAGAGAUUAAAUCUAAAACCCUUAUGAUUACCCUGCAUUCAUAAAGACUGCAAUGCAAUAUGUACAGAGAGGCGUGGACACAUAGCAAAGUCCUUACAAUUUUGACAAUUACCAUCCAAUACAAUUUUGUAAGCUACAGCUAACAUUCAUGAGCUAAUAAGUUUUGUCAGGUCGGUUACGAAAGAAAACACACUUAACUUCAUAAACAAUAAUAAAUUAUGAAAACCCCCAAAUCAAAGUUAGGGCUCAUCUAAAUCAUUAACAAAUCAUACAAACUGAUUUCAAUCUCAAAAUUAAACUUAGACCCAGCACUAUAAAUAAGAUGUCUAACCUAAAGCUAGAACAAAACACUUCCAAUUCACUAAACGGAAAACAUUUCAAAGAUCUAGAUUUUACUAACCUUUCAAUUUUCUUGCUAACACAAGAUGACUGAUUGAGAUGAUGGACAGGAACCAAAAUGAGCCGCAGCUGGAAGGCCGGAGCAAGCGACGCCGGCACGAAGAAGAAAAACGCCAGCGAACGGCCGUUGGUGAAGAUACUAUCUGGCUGUGUCCUUUGUUCAAUUUGGGGAAAGUUGGGUUUUUACGUGGUGUUGGGGGGUUAUAUGUAUUUGGAGUUUCGUUUAUAUUAAUAUAAUGAAGAAUUAAGUCUCAUUUUGUUUGGGGCUUUAAAUUAAUAACCCAACGUCGGCUUGAUUCUCUACAUAGCCGCUGAUAGGAUUACUCUUAGCAGCUGCCAUCUAAAUAAGAGCCACUGUUAAGUUGUUGUAUUCCAUCAUAUUUUUUAAUUAUUAUCCUAACAUCGGCCAAUAUUAAUCAGGGCCGAUGUUAGGUAGUAAUAACGUAUCAGUAGCCUUCCAUUUAUUGUUAGGAUAUUGACCUAACAUUGAGACCAUGUCCGUUGUUAAAUUUUGUAUGUUAAAAUAUCCUAACUGCAGGUCUAUGUGGCUACAGUUAAAUUGGCAAUAUUAGGUAGUCAGUUUCUUGUAAUGCUACCUUGUUUAUCAUAGAAAAUUUGUUAUGACAAACGUGAUUGUUGUUGUUACAUAACAACACUCUAAUUUUCCAUCUAUUUUUAAUUUUAAAAAUUUGACAGUCUUAAUUUGUUGAAUAUUUUUAAUCUUUUUUACAUUUUUAUCUCUCAUAAAUAUGUCCUAAUUUUUAGUUAAAGAAUCCUCAUUCAAUUUCUAUUUCUAUUUCUAUUUUUUUACCUAUAUUUAAUUAAGUUAAUAACUUAAUAUUUCCUUAAUUGCUUUUUACAGGUUGUCAACGGAGUUCUGGUACUCCCAACAAGUGAGAAGAACGAUCAGAUUAGUAACAGAGCACAAACAAAGGUACAAAAUAAAUUACCAUAUCACAGUCUCAGGUAUAUAACUCCAUACAAUAGCACAUUCAUGGGUACAUAACUAGACAAAAAUUAAUCAAAAAUUGAUACUUCAAUACACGAGGUAUAAAAUGCAGUACCAUAUCACAAACCCCUUUUUUUUUUUUUUUUUUUUUUUUUUUUUUUUUUUUUUUUUUUUUUUUUUUUUUUUUUUUUUUUUUUUUUUUUUUUUUUUUUUUUUUUUUUUUUUUUUUUUUUUUUUUUUUUUUUUUUUUUUUUUUUUUUUUUUUUUUUUUUUUUUUUUUUUUUUUUUUUUUUUUUUUUUUUUUUUUUUUUAUUUUUUUUCUUUUUUUUUUAUUGUCUGUUUUUUUCUUUUAUCCUGUUUUUCUUCCUUUUCAAGAUCUUGAAAAGAGAGAGAAAAUGAGAGAGAGAGAAUGAGAAAGAGAAAACGAGGGAAAGAGAAUGAGAGCAAGAGAGAGAGAGAGGAGGAGAAAUUUUUGGAGUUUUUUUAUUUUUAGUGGCUUUGAUAUUGAAAAUACUAUAUAAAGAAUUUUAGAUGAAAUCAGUCAGUUGAUACAAUUAUUGUUGUUAUGUGCUAUUAUCGUAUGAUAAGCGGGUGGGGCUUUUCUUGUUUUCGUAAACAUCAAGAUUUUAUUGGUUGGGUCUAUGAUUCCAGCCUACAUGAUACUCAAAAGGGCCCUGGUUCAUCUGGAAAUGAAAAGUGCUUUAUGAACGUUUGGAUUGGUGCUUCCUUGACUCGGUUUGGUAACUUCAAUUUCUACCCACCUAUAUCGUGUUAAGUCGGAUCACCGACCUAUUUUCAUGGUUGCGACCAAGCUCAAGAAGUCAAAUCUUCCUCAUACCUUUCGCUUUAUGGCUUCAUGGUUGUCACAUGUUGAGUUUAAGCCUUUUUUUGUCGGAAUGGAAUCGGUCUUUUACCUUUAUUCAUCAGAUGUCCAUUCGAGCUACCAAACUGAAAAAAUGAAAUAAGGAAAUUUUUGGCAACAUCCAAACGAAUAGAAGGAGCUUAUCUUUAAACUUGCUGAUGUUUAAGCUCUCGCAGCUCCUCUACUCAUUCAAGACACCACAAUGGACAUUGCAAGUGACCGGAAUACUCAUUUUUUUCACGUAUCCACCUUCCGUAGGCGUGCUCGGAACCACAUUAUUAAGUGAAGGAUGACUGUGGGGUGUGUAUUCAUUAGGUUUGGGAGUCGGUUAAUUUGGUUAAUAACCAUCGGUUAAUGGUCGGGAAGCGCUUUGAUGAUUGAAAUUAAUUAACCAAAUUAACCGACCGAGCAAAAGCCACGGUUAAUCUUACCGACCGAUAACCGACCAAUCAGUUAAAUGAUCGAUUAUUAACAGACUGACUCUCGGUUAACCGUUGUAACCGGCUCUGACCAAUUUAACUCUCUUCUCAUAUUGCAACAAGAUUCUAGGCUCUGGCUCUAGAUCCGUCGUCGAUUCAAGCCUUGGAGACCAUAGCUUCUCUUCUGGAAACAAUCCGGUGCUCUACAACUUGAUCCUUCGGGACUGGAAGCUUUCCGAGACGGCGUUGUUGCGGAUCAGUAAGGAGAGGAGGAAGCUUCAAGCCUAUGGUGUUGCAGAUCGAAGAAUUGAGAGAGUGGAGGAGGAGAGGAUUGGCCGUGGCGACGAAGGAAGCAUGUGGUGUUGCAGAUCGAAGAAUCGAGAGAGUGGAGGAGGAGAGGAGCGCUUGCGGUGACUCGUCGUGGUCGUCGUCGUGACUGCCGGCGAGAUGCUGAAAUUGAAUCGCUUGGAUUGAUAGAGUUGUCGAGAUGGAUUGAUGGAGUUGUCGAGAUGGAUUGAUGGAGAUGGCUCGGAGUUAACCUAAUUUCAGAAUGAGAGGUUGUGAUGGAGUGGGAGGCUGGGAGGGGAGGGAGCGAUUCUGCGAUUGUGGUGAGCAAAGCUUGAUUUCCUAAUUGGGGACCUUGGUUUUUUUAAUUACCGGUUAACGUUGGUUAACUCGAGUUAACCAACGAUUUUACCCUGCUCCAACAAGUACUCCCAACUGUUCCCCGACCGACCCCUACCUCGGUUAAACCGACACUCUAACCGAGUCGAUCAGUUCAUCUGUUUAACCUAUUAACCGAGACUGAUGGCCCACCCUUAGUAUUCAUCCAGCUUGUUGCUGCAAUUAGUGUCGUAUUGAUAUGGUUGAGAGAGGAUAAAAUAUGCUUGAUUUCAAGUUCUCCAACUUGAAAGGUUUAGCUGUUAAAAAUGUAGAGGUCAUGACUGAGUACUGAUUUCCAGCAAGGAGAAGUUGGAUAUUUGCUUGCGAUAAAAAAGAAUUUGGACAGUCUAUCUUAGGCACAAAAUCUAACGGAUGAGAUGGCAACUUUACUUCAGGGGCCUAUUGGUCAUUUUAAAAUUUUCUUGUUUUUCAGUUUAUUUUUCCAUUCUGUUUAAUAUUGGUUCAAGUAAAAUGAUUUCUUGUAAAUUGGGUCUAUUGAGUAACGUGGGUGGGUAGACUUUAUUGCUCCCAUCGAGCUUGACGUGAUAUUUUCUUCUUCGUUUCUUUAACAUGCAUAAAUUGUAUAUAAUACGAAAGGUUGGAAAUAUAUGUGAAGCUCGAGGUUUAUUAUAUAUGUUUCGAGGUUUAUUAUAUAUGUUGAACCUUUUUGCCAAUUGGUUAUUUUUAUCAUGUAGUGCCUUAUCAAGUAAAGGGAAUGGUUGUUUUUAUCUACUGUCACUAGCCAACUUUCUUUCUCAUGUGAUCAAUUAUUUGAUCACGCAUGAAUGACUACAGUACACAAAAGAUAGAAAUAUUAUAAAAACAAAAAACAAAUAUUAAAAAAAAAUACCUAAAAAGCAGGUACAUAACAACAAAAACAAUAACCGUAAAUAUCAAGUACAUGAAAGCGGAUGCUCAAAAUAAGCACGCACACAUUAAAAACUUUGGUACAUACAAGGCAAGAAAAUCGAGAACAUAUUGGAACUCGAGUACCGGAAUUGGUACGGUAUUAAGUACAACGUGAAGAAAUAUCAAGUACAUUAAAAAGCGAGUAUAUAACAAUAGAAAUAAGUACACGAAAACAACUCAGAGAAAUGAUAAUUUGAUUGCCAAAAUUGAGUAUGAUAAAGUAAAAUGCAAGCACGUAGUACAUGAAACAAAUAUGAGUAAGAGUACAUAAAUUUUUUAGUACAAUACAAGACAAAAACUCAAAUACAUAUAAAAACUGGACACUAAAAAAAAUAAUUAAUUAUUCACAAUUUUAAAUAAUAAUAGUCACGAUUUUUAUCAUGAUUAACAGAAGCUAGUCACGAAAAUAAAUCCGUAACUAACCUAACCGAUGCUAGAUGAACUUGUCACGAAUCUGAAUAACCUGUAACUAAGUUGUCACCGAAAUUUUCCGUGACCAACUCAUCACGGAAGAAACCGUGAACAUAUGUGUUUUUGUUUUUGUUUUUUAAAUUAGUGGCACGGAGCCAUAUGCUGUGAUAAUUGAUUUAUUAAUAAAUUAAUCCCACAUCUCCGUGGCUACUAUAUCACCAGAAUUUCCAGAUUCCGGCAACCACAAUUUCCAGAAUCCGGCAAUAAGAUAGAGUUGAUAAUUGCUUUUUUAUUAGAGUAAAAUGUUCUACAUCUAUACAUUAUGAUACCCAUAUCAAAAUUCCAGAAUCCCAAAAUUGAACAUAACGUCAACGAAAGGCACCAUGCAACAAUGGUGACACUAAGGGUUACAACAACCAGCAAAACCGAAACACAGACUGGAAAUGCUACCAAGAGAAGGAUGAGACUAGAUGAUGAGAUUGAGAUUGAGAGAAGAAAAAUGAUAGUAAGAAAUUUUGUUUUCGAGAGAGAUCAAAUGAAGAUGAGAUCUACUUCUAAUUUAAUAUAAUGGAAAUGGAGAUAUGGUUGUUUAAUGGCAAAGAGAGAAGAAAGGAAUAGCCCAUUAAACGAGGAUAGAGUCUGCAUCAUUUCUUUUUUCGACCUUUUCCCACUAAAAUGCUAAUUUUAAAAUUAUAAAUAAAAGUUGGUCACGGUUCCAACAUUUACCGUGAGUAGUUGGUCGCGGUAUUCAACAAUCCAUGACUAGUUAUGGAUUUUUUUUUAUCUAUAAGUAGUUAGUCAUGGUUUUUAAAGCCGUGAUUAAUAAAUCGUGAUUAAUCGUUGAUUUUUUUUGUAGUGCGAGUAUGAGUAUUGAGUAAAACGUCAUGUACAAAAACAAGUACAUCAAAAGCGAGUACAUAAUUAUCAAAACAAGUACUAAAACGAGAGGAAAAGUACAUAAAAAGCGAGUAUAUAAUAAUAGAAACAAGUGCAGUAAAAAUCAAGUGCAUGAAAGGAAAACGAAACUCAAACUAAACACUAAUACAAAAAAAACUUUAGUACGCAAAUAAGUAAAUACAAGAAAAUUAACAUACACAAACGAAUACAUAAGAGUAUAGUGUUUAAACAAAGCGAUUAUACGGAUCAAUACGAUGUUGAGUACAAAACAACAACUUGAGGCUUUAUCCCUCAUUUUUAGAUGAUUUUGUACUAAGUUCUUAUAUGUAUUAGUUUUUAUUAAUGUAAUCCCUCGUGUACUUUGUCUUUGGAUUUAUUUUUAUGCCAUAUCUAUUUAUUUACGCAUUUGUGUAUACUUAUAUUUUUAGAACUUUAUACUCAAAUCAAUUAAUCAAACAAUAAAACUAUUUUCUCUUUACACGAACCAACAUAAUAACCCAUCACCCCAUACAGGGUUGUGAAGGAGGUGCAGUGACCAGAAUUUUCUAGUUGUUGCUUUUCUAUAGUUUGAUAAGGGUAAGCAUCUUGUUCUAGAAUAUAUGUUGUUAGGUUAUAACAAUGCAUCUAGUUGAGCAUGAUUCUUUGGUCAAGUGUUACUGGGAUUCUUUUUGUUCCACAUCAAUGCUCGGAGGUCGAAGAGGCAACGAGGGUGACGAAGAAAUCGGCAUCACCACGUGAGAGAAGAUGAAGAAGAGGUCAGAGAGUGGAGCCGGUGGAAAAGAUAUACUAGAAGAGGUACUUAAAGUUACUUGUACGACAAAACUGCCCUUAUUCAAUUGGACAACCCCUAGAUUAAAAUUUAAAAAUGAACGGACGCGAUUCGUUUGCGGCCAGCAAACACAUAAUAUCAUGGCUGCCUAUCCGGACUCGUCAUAACUGGCGUCAACAUUACGUAGUGUUGUCAAAAAUUAAAAAGGGGAAUAUAUAAUAAUAAUAAUAACAGACGUAAUCUUGUGUAUAUAAUGAUAUUAAAACGUUUUUCAAUCGACAAAGCCAAGUCUGCGGGAGGAACAGCUAAUGGACGAACAGCCUAAGCAUAAGCCGCCUUCUUCGUAUUCUUCAGAUUCUCUGAAUCUCUACCCUUUUUUUUUGUUACGCGGAUUCCCUUCCCUCGUCUGCAAACAAAAAGCUCUUCGUUGACUUUUUAGCAGGCUUUUUUAAAAAACCUUAAUUGAAAAAAUUUGUACAUGGUUGUUGCCUUUGUUGGCGUCAGCAUGACCCAAUGCUGUUGUCAUGUUCAUGAUUGCUCCAACUCACCUGGCUGCGCAUCUGCCUUCUGACCUGACCUGCCCUCCUCCUUUUUUUUAAAUUAUGUUUCCCCAAAAUUAAAUUUAAAUCGUUACAAAAUUGGUCUCUCCUUCUCCUAUAUAUAACGUGGAAGAGCUCCUGCCAAAAAAGUCAUUCAAACUCAAAGCAGAUAAAUUAUCAAAAUAAAAAAGAAAACCCCAGUGCUCUGCCUGCCGUUAAGAAAUUAGUUUAUUGGGUUUGUUGUGUUUAUGAAAGCUGUGUUCCAGAGACUGAUAUCGUCAAGCACCCAGAUUGGCUGUAGGAAGAAAGUUGCAUCUUUUCCAUUAAUCAGAAGCGCUAAUAUGUCUGAAUCCUCUGCCUUUGAUUCUCCGAGAUUGGUGACCAAGAAGGUCCUUGCUAAGCUUCAGCGUGAAGGGGAUGGUGCUUCUGUCAGGAGAAGCAUUGGAAGGUAUAAUAUAAUAUAUCAUGGAUGGAUGGAUGGAUAUACAAUUUUCUUCUUGUCAAAAUUGAAUUAACUGUUUUCGUUUCUGUGGUGAAAUUGAAUGAUUGAAUGUUGAAUUAUUUUGGUUCAGGAGUGAGCUCAGGUCUCUGGACCCUUUCCUCAUGUUGGAUGAGUUUUCAGGUCUGCUUUGCUUAAUUACUUGAAACCAAAUUCCUUGAUAUUUUCUAGAAUUAGGAUGAUGAUGGAUGAUGGAUGGUAUUUAAUUUGUUGUUGCAAAUUGCAAUGCAUGAAGUCUCAGCUCCUGCUGGAUUUCCUGAUCAUCCACACAGAGGUUUUGAGACUGUUACAUACAUGCUGGAGGUACAGACAGUACUGGAGUUAAUUAUUUAUUAUGAAUUGAAGGCUGUUUUUUGUCCUUGGUAGUCUAUUUAUUGAUGUCUGUGAAAUUCGUGGGUGGCACUGGCAGGGAUCAUUCACUCAUCAAGAUUUUUCUGGGCAUAGAGGGACUAUUCAUGCCGGGGAUGUUCAAGUAAAAUAAUUCACUCAAUUACAAUACUACGACGUUUACUUAAUUAGCUAGCUUUACUUGAUCAAAGUCAAAAACUCUUUCUUUUUUUAAAGUAAACAACAACAACAACUUGUGUGUUUUCCUGUUGGGCAGUGGAUGACAGCAGGUAGAGGGAUAGUCCAUUCAGAAAUGCCUGCAGGAGAAGGAGUCCAGAGAGGCCUUCAGCUUUGGAUAAACCUCUCUUCUCAACAUAAAAUGUAUGUUUUUAUUUCCUUUUUUGUUUGUACUUUCCAACUUCACCAUUCCAACAGUUUGUAAUAUGGAACCAACAGGAUUGAGCCAAGGUAUCAGGAACUUCUGAGGCAGGACAUCAAAAGAGCAGAGAAAGACGGGGUUGAAGUCCGAAUCAUAGCAGGGGAAUCAAUGGAAAUCGAGUCUCCAGUUUAUACAAGGACCCCAACAAUGUACCUUGAUUUCACACUGCAACCAAGGUCCCAAAUGCACCAGCCCAUUCCAGAAUUAUGGAACGCAUUCAUUUACGUCAUUGAAGGUGAGGGAGUGUUUGGGAUCCCAAACUCCUCACCAGUUGAAGCACAUCAUACACUCGUUCUAGGCCCUGGUGAAGGAAUGAGCGCCUGGAACAACUCCUCUUCCAAACCCUUGAGGUUUGUCUUGAUUGCAGGCCAGCCACUUAACCAACCAGUGGUGCAGCAUGGUCCUUUUGUCAUGAACACAGAAUCUGAAAUCCACCAAGCAAUUGAAGAUUACCACUACUCCAAAAAUGGGUUUGAAAUGGCGCAGUAUUGGAGUUCCCAAUAGGGAACAAGUAAGUGCUUGGAUCACUCAAAACCAAAUCUCCACAUUCCCUCUCAACUUUGAAGAAGAAAAGAGUAAAGAAUAAAAAUACACAUCCACAAACACUAAAGGCCACACGCAUAUGUGAGUGAUACUCAUUUGUGUUCCAUCAUGUAUUAAUUUAGCUUUUAUCCUCUUCCAACCUUUUACUAUUCCAAAUCAAAAGGUUGAUUAUUGCAUUGUCACACAAAACAAUGAUAAUAAAAAUACUCAAUUCAUAUAAUCCUUAGAAUUAAUUCUUUUCAUAACUAUAGUAGAUGUUUGAACAAGUGAGAACAAAAUAUAAGCUUAAUCUUAAUAGUAAUAUCAACGGAUAAUAGCACUGUGUGUCACUUAAUUAUUACCCAUGUCGCACAUAAACUACUUAACUUUCUACAUUGCACAUAAAGCCACUUAACUUUGCUUAUGCUUGCAACAUCCAAAUUUUCAUUCAAUUUAUGGAUAGACUGAUCGAAUUGAUGAGUUCUUAUUCGAGAUCUUCUGUAUGAAUAACCUCCAACACAUUAAAGAGAACAAUAAUUUAUAAGAACUGACAGAAUAACUUAUUACUUGUUUACAGAAAAGAAUGAUAAAAUAAAAAGGCAAGAAUAGAUUAUAAUCAUGCCUUGGACACUGCUUUCGAAAAAAUAUUUCCCGAAUUUAGAACACCAAUACAACUAAAGGUUAAUCACAAUAUUCACUCAAACUCUAGUGUAGGGCUUGAAUGUUGGAACUUGGAAACUUAUGCUAUUUUGAUUCCGAUUUUGAGAGUGAAAACAAAGUUUUCUGCCCAUAUUAAUCAACUAGGAUUUCCCUUUUUAAAGAGAACGCAUCCACUAACCAACAUCAAAUCCAGAUUCUCCUUUCUGAUGAUCAUCAAUGAUAAGCAGAUAUGGGGAAGGUGGAGUUGAGCUCCCGAUUUCUAGGAAGCCAACCAAAUACUUCUGUUAAGCAUAAGUCUUGAGUAUAUGCGGUAUGUAACUGAUCAUUACUGUUACUUCAAGUGGUUAGAUAAUGGUUACAUCAUCUUGCUGUUGUCCGUUGAUGACAUGUUGAUAGCAAGUUCUAUUGUAAAAGAAGUAAACAAGUUGAAGAAACAGUUAUCUAACAGUUUACUAUUAAGAAUAUAGGAGACGCUAAACAGAUUUUGAGUAUGUGCAUUGAUCAUGAUAGGCAAGUAGGAAAGUUUUAUCUUUCGCAAGUUGAAUAUAUCAAGAAAGUCUUGAAGAGGUUCAAAAUGCAGGAUGCAAAACUAGUAAAGAUUCCUUUGGGUGGCUAUUUCAAGCUAUUUGAGAAGGAUAUGCCUAAUAAUGAUCCAGAACGUGCCCAAAUGCACGAAACACCAUACAUUUUUGUAAUUGAUAGCUUGAUGUAUGGAAUGGUGUGCACAAUACCAGAAAUUGCACAUGUAGUGGGAGUUGUCAAUAGAUUCAUGGGAAAUCGGGGGGAAGCGAUUAAGUACUCCUGAGAUAGUUGAAGAUUACUACUAAAAGGGUCUUGGGCUUUGAGGGCAAAGUAAUGUAGUUAGAAGGAUUUGUCAUCAAGUGACCUUGAUAGAAGAAGAUGUACAACAUGGUAUAUUUUUACUCUUUGAGGUACCAUGGUUUCUUGGGCUUUUAAGUUGCACUGUCUAACACUCAAGCUAAAUAUGUUGCGGUAACGAAGGCCAGCAAAGAGAUGGUAUGGUUUUAGAAUUUCUUUGGUGAAUUGGGGAAGAAGAAAGAGGAUAGCAUAUUGUACAUUAGUCUUAUACACUUGCAAAAAAUUCAGCAUUUCAUUCAAAAUCGAAGCUCAUAUUGAGUUGAUGUAUCACUUUAUGGGUUGAUCUCUUGGAAAGGAAGAUCUUACGGCUUAUGAAGAUUCUAGGAAGUGAGAAUCCUAUGGAUAUGCCGACUAAGGUUGUAAAGUUGGAGAAGUUGACACUGUGUAUGACUUUAACUGGUUUUGUAACUGAAGUUGAAGGUCAGAUGCUGCUUGUAGUAGGAAGACGUUGAACAUGGAGAACCAAUGAGAGGAGUAUGUCUUCAGGUGGGAGAUUGUUGGGUUAUGGUGCCUAAGAAACUGAAGGCUUGGUCCAGUUAGUUUGUUUAGUUAGAUAAAAAUUAAGAUUAAUCUUGUCUAUUCUAUAUAGGAUUAGAAUUAAUAUGGUAGCUCCCUAUAAAUAAUCUAUAUUCAUAUCAUUGUAAUCUGUAUCACAACAAUAGUAGUCGAAAUCCUAACUUGGUUUGUAAAAAAAGAAAUUCUAGCGUGGUAGCGCCCUAGACAUACUCUUCUCGUGAAGAGGAACUAGGUUCUUAAUUUUUCAGUUUAUGAUUGCGUUUCAUUUUUUACAGGAACGACCAGAUCCAGCUCAGAAACUUCCUCAAGAUGGCGACGUUGAAGAAGCUCUGUCUCGCUAACGCCUAACAAUGGCUUCUCUAGACUGAUUCAGACUGUCCUCACCGCUGGAAAAGGAGAUUAGAUAGAAAUCCAUCUUUUAUUCCUCUUCAUUGUUUUUAUGACAAUUUCUUCUUUUCUUUUAUAAUAGAGAACUAUUUAUCACUUUUGUUGGACAUUUCUUGUUUGUUUCCCUCAAGAACUAAUAAUUUUGGUCAAUGGGUGACCACUGAUGAUGUUGAUUCUAUAAGCUUUAGUAUUUAGUCAAAUUCUUGAGUUUUUUUCAACUAGAAAAAAAAAGAAGAGAGGUUACAGUUUCAAUUAUUAAGUUUGAAGAAUUAAAGAAAAAAAACUAGACUACAGAUAUGAAAAGGUAAUUCUGAUAAUUUUUAUUGAUGAAUUUUUUUUUUGUAAUGAGUAAGAUAAUUUUUUAGGUUUUAUAAAUGGGUUUUUGGUUAAAAAUCUCAUUUAGAUAGAGUUUUUGAUGGGUAAUUAUGAAAUUUGACAUAAAGGGUACAUGAUUAAAAAGGUGGGAAAGGAAGAUGCGAAAAGAAGGUAAGAAGGAAUCAAUUCAUGGCAAAAAAGAAAAAUAAAUAAGAGGGAAGAAAGAAGACAUAUAUUGAUGGGAGGCGGAGGUGGGAUAGGGAGGUGAGAGAAAGAUGUAACAACAAAGAAGGGUUUAGCGAAAGGUGNNNNNNNNNNNNNNNNNNNNNNNNNNNNNNNNNNNNNNNNNNNNNNNNNNNNNNNNNNNNNNNNNNNNNNNNNNNNNNNNNNNNNNNNNNNNNNNNNNNNNNNNNNNNNNNNNNNNNNNNNNNNNNNNNNNNNNNNNNNNNNNNNNNNNNNNNNNNNNNNNNNNNNNNNNNNNNNNNNNNNNNNNNNNNNNNNNNNNNNNNNNNNNNNNNNNNNNNNNNNNNNNNNNNNNNNNNNNNNNNNNNNNNNNNNNNNNNNNNNNNNNNNNNNNNNNNNNNNNNNNNNNNNNNNNNNNNNNNNNNNNNNNNNNNNNNNNNNNNNNNNNNNNNNNNNNNNNNNNNNNNNNNNNNNNNNNNNNNNNNNNNNNNNNNNNNNNNNNNNNNNNNNNNNNNNNNNNNNNNNNNNNNNNNNNNNNNNNNNNNNNNNNNNNNNNNNNNNNNNNNNNNNNNNNNNNNNNNNNNNNNNNNNNNNNNNNNNNNNNNNNNNNNNNNNNNNNNNNNNNNNNNNNNNNNNNNNNNNNNNNNNNNNNNNNNNNNNNNNNNNNNNNNNNNNNNNNNNNNNNNNNNNNNNNNNNNNNNNNNNNNNNNNNNNNNNNNNNNNNNNNNNNNNNNNNNNNNNNNNNNNNNNNNNNNNNNNNNNNNNNNNNNNNNNNNNNNNNNNNNNNNNNNNNNNNNNNNNNNNNNNNNNNNNNNNNNNNNNNNNNNNNNNNNNNNNNNNNNNNNNNNNNNNNNNNNNNNNNNNNNNNNNNNNNNNNNNNNNNNNNNNNNNNNNNNNNNNNNNNNNNNNNNNNNNNNNNNNNNNNNNNNNNNNNNAUGGGUUUGUGGUUAAAAAUCUCAUUUAGAUAGAGUUUUUGAUGGGUAAUUAUGAAAUUUGACAUAAAGGGUACAUGAUUAAAAAGGUGGGAAAGGAAGAUGCGAAAAGAAGGUAAGAAGGAAUCAAUUCAUGGCAAAAAAGAAAAAUAAAUAAGAGGGAAGAAAGAAGACAUAUAUUGAUGGGAGGCGGAGGUGGGAUAGGGAGGUGAGAGAAAGAUGUAACAACAAAGAAGGGUUUAGCGAAAGGUGAUAUAAACAAAAUUAAUUUUGUAAGAAAAUAUUUUUUUUAAUGCCAUGUCAACUAGUUUGUAACUUUUAGUGUCCAUGUCAACAAACAAAAUUUUAUAAAGUUACCAAAAUUCAAAAUUUGUGUUACGAAAAGUAUUUCUAAUAGAUUGUGCCAUUUUCGGUAAAGGCUUAAUAGGUUGUGCAUUUAAGAAAAAAAAUAUUAUUGUGUUUCUACAAUUAACAUCAAUUAUCACCAAACCAUUAAAUACUAAAAACCAAUUAAGAUAUAGUCAUGUUACAAAAAAUGACUCUUGUUAUGAUUUUUUUGUUUAUGCAAUGAUAGGAUGAGAUUAAAAGGUUAAUUUCUUUUUCGACAAAACUUGUAAAAUAUUAUUAAACUCAAUUAGAUAUAAUAUCAUCUACAGUUGGUCAAUCAAAAAAAUUGAGGGUCUAUCCACCGAAACAAUCGUGGAGUUCCAAUGAGUCUGAUUAUACGCCAUAACAUGGGUAAGCUUGUUAACUUAUCUCCGGCCAUGACGCCAAUUACCACAAUCAAACUUUGCCAAAAGGCAACGAAUUAUGGACUAAAAUCCAUGUUCGGUAUGAUGAUCUUCCACAUGAUGCAAAGUCUCAACCAUGAUCAAGCUAUCACUUUCAAGAACCACAUUAGGAUACCUAUGUUGCAAGGCCAAUUGUUAGCAAAAUCUUGCCUCGACCGCCUCAGUUAAAGUAGGCUCAUAGCAACCCUACAAUUUCAACAUAUCCGCCAUUAAGUAAUGCCGAACGCCAUCCCAGAUAACCACCCCAAUACCCAUUCUGGAUCCUGUAAUGAUAGUUGCGUUUAAGGUAGUGAAACUGGUGAGUCAACAUGGGAUCGAAAAGGGACCUAGAAUCGUAAUCGUAAAAUCAAAUCGCAAAAUCAUAAAAUUUCACGGUUCUUCAAUAAUACUAAAUAUUCAGAAAUUCACCUUAGCAUAAAGACGUAAGUUCAUUAUCCAAUCUAAAAUUAAAAAUAAAAUCUCAAAUUCACCUUAAUAGGUUCUUCAGUUGCACUACUUUGAGCUGAUUUUCGAGUCUAGGAGACCGGAGACAAAAUCUGUGAACAAAAUUGUACAAUCUUACAACAAAAAACAAAAUACCUUCGAACAAAGAACCUAAACACCAAAAAUCCAAAACUAAUCUAACAAAAACAGAAUUAGAGAAAGGAAUGGGAUGAUGAGCAAAAUCAUGGAAUGGGAUGAUGAAGAAUCAUGGAAUCAAGGAAACAGAGAUACCUUCGAGCCGUAGGAGUGGCUGGAGCGAUGGGGACGACCAAAGAGGCUAUGACGAGGACCAUUGACUCCUGGUUCUGGUCUUCUAGACUUCUGGGGGACGACCGACGGGGGAGACGACAAGAGAGAAGACUGAGGAUCGAGCAGAGAUCGAACGAGCAAUCGACGACUUGCACAAUUUUUUUCAGAAGAUAAAUGAAUUUAAGGUUCGAUUUUUUGCCCAAAAUUGAACUCGGAUUUCCGUUUCGGUUCGAACCGAAGCAUAAAAACCAGCGGUCAGCACAGAGUAGUGGACUCGUGAAUCGUUGUAAACUCGUUCGAUUCCACGAUUUUCACGAUUUUGCGAGCGAUUUCAUGCCAUUAUAAGCCAUUUUGAUUGCGCGUGAAAUCUGACUCGACGGACCUAACAAAACUCGUAAAAUCGUCGAUUCCACUUCCUUCGUUGUGUAUGUACUGAUAUGGGGUUCCUGGUUUAGUGGUUGAACCGGGGUUGGACCGUUUUUAAACCGGGUCGGCCAUUUUAAAUAUUACAUAAAGUUAAAUCGGACCGAAAAAAUAUUGGAUUGAACGAAAUCAAACUGACAGUACAAAUAGUCAAAUUUUGAGAUUUAACCUUUGAAAAUUGAACAAUUUUAAAAAAUUUAUGUACAUUAUGAUGUUAUUCUUUUUUAAGUUUAUGUAAUAUAAUGAUAUUAUCUAUAGUUGAAGUCUUCCACACAUAUAUAUCUAGAAUGCUAAAGAAACCCUAAUGGAUCUUUCAAUCUUUCUUUAAUUGGGCUCCAACUACUCAAUACCCUCUCUCACACUUUUUUUCUCUAUAGAGAAACUCUCUCCCUUUUUCAUCAGAUUUUUUUCUCCUUGUAAUCUAAUCUUAUUUUUCUAAUAUUUUCAUUCUAUUUCUUCCCUAUUUGUCUCUUUUACUUUUUUCUUUUUGGAAGGUUAUUAGAAAAAGAGGACCACUAAAUAAUUCCGUCGACGUCCAGCAAUAGGGUUUUCCAAUUUUUUCACAGAUGGAUCCAUGUUUCCAAAGUUCUUUUGUUUUUUUUUCUGAUCUGAUAGUUGGUUCUUUAACUAGUUGAAUUAUCUGGUUUUCCGGGGAAAUCGGGUCAAUCCUCAGUUUUGUUCAUUCUCCUCAACCGCUAACUCAGUAUUGAUCAAAUGAUCGGUUCACAGUCGGACCGGCCGGGCUGAUAUGGUUUUGCUAACAUUGAUCUUAGUAGAGCCGACUAGAGGCCAUUCCAACCGAGCCACAAUGGCCUCAUACGAAAAACUCCUAGUUACCCUGAGUUCUUGAUAAUAAAUAAGAAUUGGAGUGCUUGUGCUAUGAUAUCACACUCCAAUUAGUGAAACUCAUUAAGCAUACACACAUUCCUUUCUUUCCAUCAGAAUCACAUAAGCAUUACCCAUCUUUCCAACUCCAAAUUCAAAACUUUGCGGUUGCUAAGUGAGAACCAAUCGCAUCAGUCAUUAGAAUCAUCAAAAUCAACCAGUGAUCAUGUUUAGAGUUACCUCAAAUCCGCCAAGUCCAUUGGCAAUCUCGGAAAUAGUGAAUUUGCAGGCAACCUGCAAAAUGGGCAUAUAUCACCAUGUCGAGGAUUAUGCUUAUACAUAUUAUACCUGUAGGUAAAAUUUACGAUGAAAUUUUCAUAAGAACUGCUCACCUUCGACGGAAUCUACAAUGACCAAGAACAAUUCCAAACAUCCGAGUUGCAAUUUGGAUUAAGACCCACUAAAAGAAAACCGUGUCCAUUAUUACGGAUAAAACCGGCCGUUGUCACUGAUAUUUCCAUGUCCCUGCCUCGUUGUCGCGGGAAAAUCAUCCGCGACAACGGGCGCCUUCAUAAUGAGGGGUGNNNNNNNNNNNNNNNNNNNNNNNNNNNNNNNNNNNNNNNNNNNNNNNNNNNNNNNNNNNNNNNNNNNNNNNNACGGCCGCCUUCAUAAUGAGGGUUGUGGGGACUAAACUAUCCGCGAAAAAUAGGGUUGGCGCGAACCCGUUAUGACCGGUUUGGUUCAAAUAGUUAGGUUGAAAGGCAUUUUAACAAGUUUAUCCGCAAAAACGGCAAGAGAUAUCCGCGACAAUGGCUAACAACAUUUGUUUUGCCGUCAUAACGGUUCCCCUAACGACGUUGAGUUUAUCCACGGCCAAGGUUGACAUUGUUAGUUUCUCCAUCCUACCCGUAAUGGUUGUUGUGCCAAAUACUAGGCCAUAAUAUCUGCGACAACAGCUCAAGUACUGCCUAAAAUUUUGUUAUUUUUGCUUGUUUCGUCCACUGUGGGCGCCUAAAAUAAAAGUUUAUAUAUGCACUAUUCUACACAUAACACAAUAUAUACCAAUAUCAUUAGCAUAACGAUAACACAUAUGAUCAUCCAAGAGUUAAUACUAUAACAUAAUCCAUAGAUCUACUCCAACAUAAUUCCUUGAUUUUUUACCUAACUAAAGUCAUUAGUUCACUAGACUACAUCACUAUCAACCUAGAUAUAACUACACUAGAGACUCGUCAUCCUCAUCCUCGUCAUUAUGACCAAGAUCCUUAUUAGCUCAAGUAUACAAAAGAAGAUAUAUAAAAUUGAAAUUAGGUUAAAACACAUAAAAUUAAGUAACAUGAACUUUAUAACAUAUAAAGAUUACUAAUAAUUUACCCGCCACAUCGUAGUCGUAGUUCUGUUGGAUGUGGUUAUAUUAUAUUAACCGCUACAAUCGUCGUUACGGAUCAUUAUCCGUGUCCGACGAUGACCUAACCGUGACACCCGUUAUCGCGGAUAUUAUCCCCCAUAACUAAUCUACGUCAGACAUCAAAUUUUGUUGUAGUGGCCAAGCUAUUCUUUAAAGCUAGUCAGCCAGUUUUAAUACCCCUAUUUUUUCGAAUAAACAGCUUUACUACUUGAAAUCCAAAUAAGCAUUCCGAUUCUUGAACAUCGCAAUGAAUAAUUUGCACGAUAGAAGUUGAUAUAGUUGACCAAAAACAGCUUUCAAUAAGAGCAGUAUUCUACUGAUAAGUCGUUCGAUUAACCAACUCACGAACUGUAGCAUCAACAUCAAACCUCAUCGGCGUAGAGGUCACAAAAUUACCGGGUACUAACGGAAGCCAUCCGUCUCCCCAAAUUCUAACGGACAUACAAUUUCCCACCCACCACCCAAGGCCACUCCAUACAAAACAUUGAGCACCAAAAAGGCUAUGCCAUAUAAAGCUAAACCCAACUCAGCUUUAAAGACAUAAUAGAAUUUUUAAAAUACUUAGCUUUCAUAAUUCUUACAAUAAGGGAAGAUGCUCUUGAGUGUAAGUUCCAAAGAUGUUUAGCAAGUAAAGUAAUGUUAAAGCCUAAAAAAUCACAUAAUCCCAUCCUAGCUUCGGAUUUCAAACUCAAUAGAUAUUCUUGACAAAAUGAGGGAUGAGCACUGGGUCGGGUCACCCAUCAAAACCCACCCGCCUAUAAUCACUCUCUACCACUACUACCCUUUUCCCCAUCACCAUAAAACUUUGCAUGCUUGUUUGUGUGUUUUUGUAGUUUUUUUGUGUGUUUUAUGUCGCUUUUCAUCGUUUGAGUAGAGAGAGAGAGGGAGAGAGAGAGGGAGAGAGAGAGAGGGAGAGAGAGUAUUUCAAGGGUUGCAUGUCAUACCAAUGAUUAAGAAUGCAUGAUAGAAGGUCUCGAUUCAAAUUAGGGUUCGGUCGGUGUCUGAUCGAAGGACGAAUGAUGCUUGCAUUAUUUUAUUUUUACUGAAAAAUUGGGCUUCUGGAGCAGCCUUUAGAUCAAUCUCAAGGUGUGUGGCUUUGCAUAGUGUGUGUCGUUUCCUUAAGUUUCUCUCGAUAGAAAAUCGAGUUUAUGGCGUGUGAUCCCACAUGCCAUGUGACUGAUUUUUGACAAAACGAACCGACCAAAGAACAACCAAAAACCCAACCGGCUCAAACCGUAAUGAACCAGAUUGAUUUUCAAACCGAUUUUCAACCAAAUCAAACUGAGUUUGACCAGACGCAUUGACCCUUCGUUGACCGGCCGUUGCCCCCGUUGACCGGUCACCAUGGAAGAAAAAACAUGGCAGUUUAGUAGUAUUUUGGGCAUAACAUUUUGCUCGGGAGUCUGAUUGACACAAGGUCAGUGACGUUGGAAACUUGUUCAGUUGCCUACAACUUUGAUGUCAUGAUGUGGCCUAAAUCCAUGCAGUUUGUGCUCAUUUUUCUUGGUUUGGAUUGAUGGAAUUUGAGAAAGUUUGAAUUGUGGUCUUGUUUGGUUUGAUGAUUUGGUGCGAUCGUGAUCAAUUUCUUGAUAGUAUUAUAGUGAUAUGUUCAUUGCAAAUGCUAACGUUUGGGAUGGUUGUCCAAAAUGGAUAAUUCUAGCUUUGCAAUGUGAAGAUUGCUGGAUGUUGAGACGUGAUCACUUUGUCACUCUUGUAUCGAUGGCAUGUUGUUGAUUUUCAUGAGAACUUGGAAUGGCAUCAUGAUGCUUCAAAGUGUGGUUGAACGUAGGUUGUUACUAGGCCUGAGAGUCGGUUAAUUUGGUUACUAACCAUCUGCUUAAUGUUCGGGGAAAAUGAUUUGGAGAUUAAAGUUGGUUAAUCGGUUUAACUGACCGACCAUAUGUAAUGGUUAAAAAGCCGACCAAUAACUGAUAAAUCGGUUAAAUAACCAAUUAUUAACCAACAGAUUAGUCGGUUAAUCCUAUGAACUGACUUUGAUUGAUUGACCGACUAUACCGACUUAACCUAACAAGAUCUGAAUCUCCAUGCUCAUCUCUGCCAUCGAGUGAGCCACGUUCUGCUCAUGAUAACCGUUCGUCCAAGCAUUCAUACUCUACUAAGAAAGCUUGCCAUGGCCGCCACUCUGAACACCGGUCAAAGAACUGAAUACUUGUUCCAAGAUCCGAACUUCCAGAACCGUCUCCAAUCCAUCUUCCCAAUUGUAGUUUGGACAAAGUUUCCUCAUCUGAAUUUUUACUCAAUCACACAACUACAACCUACACGACAACCAUAAUCAAUAGAGUGGAGGGGGAUAGGAUGAAACAGAGGACUGGUUGAAAUUAUAUGGGCCUAUGUUGCAUCCUCAAUAGCUCGUCGUCGCCAAGCCUCACUGAGCCGUCCCCGAGAGAGGAAGAGACGUAGAGUCUAGAGAUCGUGCUUUACUAGUGCUCAACACUCAUGGAGCCGUCACUGAGAGAGGAACAUAAUCCCUAAUGAAUCGUGAAAUCGAGAAUGAACGGGGAUAAGUGAAUAUGUUUGUGUGUGUGUGAGUUUGACCUAAAAAUGGGGGGAUUGGGAAUACGACGUAGACAUUUGGGUUCAGACUUGGGGUUCUUUUGACCGAUUAAUGUUGGUUAACACAAGUUAACUGACGGGUUUUAACCGAUUCACCGUUUAACUGAAGUCAGUUUUUCUCUUUGACCGUCCCCCAACCAACCUGUAGCUCGAUUAAACCUUCCUCUAACUUAUUCGGUCGGUUAAUCAAUUUUAAACGAUUAACCGAAACUGAAUUCCUACCCUUAGUUGUUACUAGGUGCUUUUGUUGCUCCCAAUUGAUGAUUUGUGAUUAUUUCCAUGCUCAUUUAAUUUGCUUCCAUUGCUCAUAUUUUGUCCUACCAUUACCCUUGAUGACUCAUUGGUUACUCACUGUUUUGGUAAAUGGUUCAAAGAAGCAUGAGGCAUAUUACUAGUCCAUUUGUUCCUGUAAUGAUAUAUCUUUGACCUCACCUUUUGGUAUAACUUGAAUGAUGCAUACGUUGUCACUUCAUGCUUUGCAUACACUCUUUAUGCUCGUUCUUGUUCAUUGGACUUGGUCAACAUUUGUGAGGAUUUCUUUGUGGCAAUUGAUGAUAAAUGAGUUAAGGUGGUCCCAUAGCUUUUGCUUACCCUUGUCUUACUAAUUUAUGAAUUAUAGGAUGCUCUUGUUUAGGAUUGCUAGUUAGUCUUGCUUGAGAAUAACUAGUUAUCUUCUUCAUUGGUUUUGCCUUUCUUUUACAUCUUGCCUAUGCCAUGUCUACUUAUGAGCUAUUUAUUGCCUAUCGUUGCCUAAUUCGAUUGGAUGCUUAUUGAGGUGGUUCCUUAGUGGCCGUAGGAUUAUGGGUUGACACCUCUACAUGCUUGAUGUGUAUGAUUAUUCUCCAUUUCGAAAUUUUCAAUGAUACUUUAAAGUCAAAUUUGAAUGCUCUUUACAAAUGUGUCAAUUUUGGCACAGUUUUCAAGGAUUCAUCAUUUAGUGUUUAUAAUUCAUUUUCGUUUUAAAUUUUCGUUUCCCACAUUUACUUUUCAUGUUUUGUUGCUUUUAUUGUUUUAAAUUUUAUUAUUUUUAUUUUAAUAGGCUUACUUUCCUUGUAUAUCCCCAAUUGUAACUUGGUAUCCGUAUUCUCAACUAAAUCAACAAAUGACACCAAAUAACUUAAAAUUGAGAACUAUAAGAGCUCAAAAGAAGGAGAUUUAGCAGAGUCUCUUAUAGGUUUCAAAAAAGCGAGGAAGGAUCUUCAAGUGGAGAGGACCCUUUCUCCUCCCUAACUCCAAUGGCGAACAAAACUCUAGCAUUAGACCACCUAAAGUCAGACGAUAAGCCAUGCAUUCAUCUCGUGGACUUUAUCUUCUAUUGCGACACCAUCAAGCUACACGGUGUUUCUGUUGAGGUUCACAUCGUGUUCCCCUUGAGUUUCAGCAACCAUCCACUCCAAGCACCUUAAAUCAUCCGUCUUAGUUUCUGCUUGUCCCCAAACACCGUACAUCGCAUGUACUUCGUGAUUUUUCCAUUCUUUGAGGCAUUUAGCUCCUCCUUGUACAUCAUACAGUUAUGAAUAAUGCCUCGACGUUGUUGUGUGCCUGAAAUUGAUAAAAAACACAACGCAACAACAUCAAAUGGACCCCAAACGGGUAUGAGACACUAAAUCGAGAUAGAAGUUACAAAUGCACAAAACAUCAUGUCGUGAAUGUUUCGAUCCGCGACACCGAUGGCUUGAAAUAUUUCAGAGUCGCCACCAAUCUGUUGAAGCGGAUUGGACGCUGUCGACAUAACCCAGGUCCUUUUGGACGUGAGUUAGAACAGGUCUGCGGAACAGAGAUCCUGGAUUCGAGAGGCGGUUACGUGCAGGGAAGGAUUAGCACCCCCAUAGCGCCCGUCAAACCGGUACUACUAAAUUUGAUAAGUUAUGUUUUAUUUUCUUAGUUUAGUGGUUUAAUUAUGCUUUAGUUUGGACGCAUAAGGUUAUGUAAAUUUUUUAGAGAAUAUUUUUAUUCAAUUGUAAGUCUUUAUGAGUUCCCACUCUUGUGGAAAUUUUUUUUUAUGUUGAUAAAUAUUUUGAGUUGAACAUUCUUAAUUUAAUUGUUUGGAUUUACGAAUUCCCAUUCUUGUGGAAAUUUUGUUUUACGCUGGUGAAUAUUUUUAAGUUGGUUAUUUUUAAUUUAUAUGUUUGGACUCAAGUCUUACGACUGCCUACGUACCUAAUUCUUUGGGAUCAAAGAUCAUGUAGUUCGUUAUGGAAAAGUUGAUUUGAGGAUUUUUUGUAAUUUUUACUAUUAUAAAAACCACGUUAUCAUGCUCAUUUUUUAUUUGAAAGACAUUUAUUUGGUUAUUUCAAAGUUGGAACUUUAUUUGCCCACUUAUGAUUAAAUGAUAAUUCUACAAAAUUCGAAACUCUUGUCACGGAUACGAAAUUCAUAUAACAUUGCUAUAAUAUCUUUAAAGGAUUAUUAUUAAGGAAAUUUCACAUUUUUUGCCAAUCGAAAAAUUAAUUGGUUUAUAUCAGUUAACUUAAUUUGACAUAAUUAAAAAUGCAUUACAAGACGGUUAACGAACUUACAUUUAAAUAAAUAUGUCACAAGUAUUUUUGGUGAUUUGACAAUUCUAUUGUGGUUAUGUUAAUGUUAAUUAAAAUGAUACGUUGAUUUGAAUAAUUGUAAAGUUUUGAGUUUUUAAGUUUACAACUUUAAGGUAUAAAUAUCAAAUAGGAUUAAAGAAGGUAUGACGUUUAUUCUGUUAUUCUUCCACACUUAUUUCACUUUUAUUCCACUCUUAAUAUGGCCUUAAUGAUAUAUGAAUAUAAUUGAAUCGACUAAAGGCUUGGCCUUUCUAAAUUAAUUGUGCCCAAGCUCGAGCUCGGCCCAACCGAACGAUGAGCCGAACCGGCGGGUAAGAGGAGGGCAGCCCGCGUGCCAAACUGGUCGAACCGGUUAUCCACGGUUCGAUCAGAAAACUCAAAAAGAUGAAAUUGCCCCUAGCGUUCCGUGCGCUGAAGAAGGGUGGCAGGGGAAAUUUUGUAACUUCACCUUAAACCUAAUCGGCCUUAUAAAAGGGCCUCUUAAAUCGAGAAAUGACUCAUUUGCAACUUCCCACUCUCUCUUUAUCAUCCCUCUUUCUAAACCGCCGCCCUUCUCCCCCCCCCCCCCCCCCCCCCCCCCACCCACCUUUAUCACGGAGUGUGCUGUUUUUUUCUAGUUCCUUUCUCUUCUUCUCAGCCGCCCUUUUUUGCCUCCUCUUACCUCUCAGGACCCCUCUUUCUACCUCCGUUUUUUCGAUUUUUCCAGAUUUGGACUUGCAUGUCAUCGGAGGAUACUCCGGUGAGUCCUCCGGCAAAAUGCAAGUCUCGAUCUGUAGAUCUAAUGUUUUAUUUUGGUAUUAAACAAUUUUGGUUAUUUGAGGGUGGUACCGACGGGGGUGGCGGGGAGGUAGAGAAAUGGAAAAAAGAGAAAGUUAGGUAAGUAAGAUUUCUUCCCUAUUCCUUUUGAUUAAUGUCUGGUUAAUUGCUAACGAAGCUAACUACCGGUUUCUUUGAUGACUUUUUUUAUGUCUUUGAAAAUGGGCAUAGUCGACAUGUUUUGGAAAAUGAGAGGAAAAGGAGAAGAUUGCUUUUAGGAGGUAAGACAGCUAAUUUUGAACCCAUUCUAAUUUUUCUAGGUAGAAGUAACAAUUCUAUUUGUUGAUAAGUUGCAUAAGAAACUAGGUUUGUUUUGUUACUGAAGUUGUAGUAGUAGUCUAGGUGUUUUAAAAAGUUUUGUUUGAAAAACUUUAUUUUUUUUACUAUUGUUUAAAUUUUUUUAGCAAC
Molecule: long non-coding RNA, 42011 nt
Filed under: Linum usitatissimum (flax)
Lineage: Eukaryota; Viridiplantae; Streptophyta; Magnoliopsida; Malpighiales; Linaceae
Description: long non-coding RNA (LUSI_LNC006001)
Rfam family: Small nucleolar RNA Z122 (bases 13505-13583)
Source: RNAcentral